RNAcentral lists this ribosomal RNA (460 nucleotides) under uncultured bacterium. Its description in RNAcentral is "partial 16S ribosomal RNA". It matches the Rfam family "Bacterial small subunit ribosomal RNA", at positions 338 to 795 of the family's 1533-position model. The record is from RNAcentral.
CCUACGGGUGGCAGCAGUGAGGAAUAUUGGUCAAUGGCCGCGAGCCUGAACCAGCCAAGUAGCGUGAAGGAUGACUGCUCUAUGGGUUGUAAACUUCUUUUAUAAAGGAAUAAAGUUAGGCACGUGUGGCUAUUUGCAUGUACUUUAUGAAUAAGGAUCGGCUAACUCCGUGCCAGCAGCCGCGGUAAUACGGAGGAUCCGAGCGUUAUCCGGAUUUAUUGGGUUUAAAGGGAGCGUAGAUGGGUUGUUAAGUCAGUUGUGAAAGUUUGCGGCUCAACCGUAAAAUUGCAAUUGAUACUGGCAGUCUUGAGUACAGUUGAGGUAGGCGGAAUGCGUGGUGUAGCGGUGAAAUGCUUAGAUAUCACGAAGAACUCCGAUUGCGAAGGCAGCUUACUAAGCCACCACUGACAUUGAUGCACGAAAGUGUGGGUAUCAAACAGGAUUAGAUACCCGUGUAGUC